UACAGAGGUCUCAAGCGUUGUUCGGAUUCAUUGGGCGUAAAGGGUGCGUAGGUGGCGCCGUAAGUCAGGUGUGAAAUUUCGGAGCUUAACUCCGAAACUGCAUUUGAUACUGCGGUGCUUGAGGACUGGAGAGGAGACUGGAAUUUACGGUGUAGCAGUGAAAUGCGUAGAGAUCGUAGGAAGACCAGUGGCGAAGGCGAAUCCCUGGAAAAUACCUGACACUGAGGCACGAAAGCUAGGGGAGCAAACAGG
RNAcentral lists this ribosomal RNA (252 nucleotides) under uncultured bacterium. RNAcentral's name for it is "partial 16S ribosomal RNA". It matches the Rfam family "Bacterial small subunit ribosomal RNA", at positions 524 to 776 of the family's 1533-position model. The record is from RNAcentral.